AGGCACCCCUGAGCAUGAAAUAUAAAUUUCCCCCUGAGGAUUUAUGCCUUAUGUUUCUAGAGGGACAUAGAGAAGACAGAUAACUUAAAUACUUGGGUUCUGGAUUGGGGUUAUGUCAAACAUGCCACCGAAGAUUCUUGCACACGUUAUGCUGGUGUACAUAUAUGGAAGUGUCUGUGAGUACACACGUCACGGAGGAACUGCUGUGCCAUAGGGGAUACACACCCUCAACCUUGGCAGAUGAUGCUGAGCUGCCUUCCAGAGCAGCAGUGCUGGUUUGCACUCUCAGAAGCUUUGUAGAGAGUUCCAACUGCUCCACUUUCUCACCCACGCUUGGCAAAAAAACUUUUUAUGGUUCACUGAGGACAAUCAACUCCUUCACAAUCUAGAACCCGAAGAUUGGAUCCUCUGAGACAUCAGAGAAAGAUUGCUUUAGCCAUCCUCACUGCAGUAAAACUUCAGGACCUCGAGCCUUGGGUUCAUAAUCUCACAACUGAGAAGGGUCCCUCCACACUGUUGAACUGUACACCCAUUGGAACCCUUAAGGUAAAGCUAACCAGGGAAGUUUCUCCCUAAGAAGAAGAUGGCAUCCUUGAUGCAAAAAGCUUUUCCCAACAUCACAGAUCAAGACUUCUAUUAUCAUGAGACUCUUAUCUUUGAAUACUUUUCCCCUUGCUUAUGCCUGUAUGAACAAUACAAGUGGAAAAGGGG
This 711-nucleotide long non-coding RNA is filed under the name Homo sapiens (human). RNAcentral describes it as "HSALNT0380241". The record is from RNAcentral. Lineage: Eukaryota; Metazoa; Chordata; Mammalia; Primates; Hominidae.